GUCACUGCUCCUCGUUCCCGGCGUUCUGAAGCAUUAAGAAAAAAAGAUGGCAACCUCCUCCACAACCUUGACUGUAUGGAUAAUCGGAGACAGCUAUGUCCGGCGUGGAGCCCAGAGAGCUACAGAGACCAUCGGCAGCAACCUUGGCCUCGACCUUCGCGCCUGCUGGUUCGGUUGGGGUGGACUGCGCUGGAGAGGUCUCCUCCCCUUCUUUUCCAACUCCCUGCGAGGAAGAGCAGCCCCGGAUGUCCUCCUCAUCCACUGUGGCGGCAACGACUUGGGGGAUGUGCCCAGUGUU
Molecule: long non-coding RNA, 298 nt
Organism: Trematomus bernacchii (emerald rockcod)
Lineage: Eukaryota; Metazoa; Chordata; Actinopteri; Perciformes; Nototheniidae
Exons: 3
Source: RefSeq, a predicted model, not a curated record